Molecule: microRNA, 17 nt
Filed under: Corchorus olitorius
Lineage: Eukaryota; Viridiplantae; Streptophyta; Magnoliopsida; Malvales; Malvaceae
Description: mmu-miR-19
Source: RNAcentral
UGAGGUACUUGUUAGAA